RNAcentral lists this ribosomal RNA (700 nucleotides) under uncultured Rhodopirellula sp. Its description in RNAcentral is "bacterial SSU rRNA". It matches the Rfam family "Bacterial small subunit ribosomal RNA", at positions 416 to 1110 of the family's 1533-position model. Lineage: Bacteria; Pseudomonadati; Planctomycetota; Planctomycetia; Pirellulales; Pirellulaceae. The record is from RNAcentral.
CUUCGGGUUGUAAAGCUCAAAAGGGGUGAGAAAGGGCAACUUGAUCGAACCCCAGUAAGCUCGGGCUAAGUUCGUGCCAGCAGCCGCGGUAAGACGAACCGAGCGAACGUUGUUCGGAAUCACUGGGCUUAAAGGGCGCGUAGGCGGGUGUUCAAGUCCGGGGUGAAAUCCCACAGCUCAACUGUGGAACUGCCUUGGAUACUGGGCACCUCGAGGGUGGUAGGGGUAUGCGGAACUAUCGGUGGAGCGGUGAAAUGCGUUGAUAUCGAUAGGAACUCCGGUGGCGAAGGCGGCAUACUGGACCACAUCUGACGCUGAGGCGCGAAAGCCAGGGGAGCGAACGGGAUUAGAUACCCCGGUAGUCCUGGCCCUAAACGAUGGGUACUAGCUAGUAGGGUUCACAUGGCUUUACUGGCGAAGCAAAAGUGCUAAGUACCCCGCCUGGGGAGUAUGGUCGCAAGGCUGAAACUCAAAGGAAUUGACGGGGGCUCACACAAGCGGUGGAGCAUGUGGCUUAAUUCGAGGCUACGCGAAGAACCUUAUCCCAGACUUGACAUGUGCGAUAGCGGUGGGCGGUAACUCCCGGAAACGGGGUGUGAUCCCUCGCAAGAGGGGGACCCACUACAGGUGCUGCAUGGCUGUCGUCAGCCCGUGUCGUGAGAUGUCGGGUUAAGUCCCAUAACGAGCGAAACCCUUACCU